GAGUUUGAUCCUGGCUCAGAUUGAACGCUGGCGGCAGGCCUAACACAUGCAAGUCGAGCGGUAGCACAGGGAGCUUGCUCCCGGGUGACGAGCGGCGGACGGGUGAGUAAUGUCUGGGAAACUGCCUGAUGGAGGGGGAUAACUACUGGAAACGGUAGCUAAUACCGCAUAACGUCGCAAGACCAAAGAGGGGGACCUUCGGGCCUCUUGCCAUCAGAUGUGCCCAGAUGGGAUUAGCUAGUAGGUGGGGUAACGGCUCACCUAGGCGACGAUCCCUAGCUGGUCUGAGAGGAUGACCAGCCACACUGGAACUGAGACACGGUCCAGACUCCUACGGGAGGCAGCAGUGGGGAAUAUUGCACAAUGGGCGCAAGCCUGAUGCAGCCAUGCCGCGUGUAUGAAGAAGGCCUUCGGGUUGUAAAGUACUUUCAGCGGGGAGGAAGGUGUUGAGGUUAAUAACCUCAGCAAUUGACGUUACCCGCAGAAGAAGCACCGGCUAACUCCGUGCCAGCAGCCGCGGUAAUACGGAGGGUGCAAGCGUUAAUCGGAAUUACUGGGCGUAAAGCGCACGCAGGCGGUCUGUCAAGUCGGAUGUGAAAUCCCCGGGCUCAACCUGGGAACUGCAUUCGAAACUGGCAGGCUAGAGUCUUGUAGAGGGGGGUAGAAUUCCAGGUGUAGCGGUGAAAUGCGUAGAGAUCUGGAGGAAUACCGGUGGCGAAGGCGGCCCCCUGGACAAAGACUGACGCUCAGGUGCGAAAGCUUGGGGAGCAAACAGGAUUAGAUACCCUGGUAGUCCACGCCGUAAACGAUGUCGACUUGGAGGUUGUUCCCUUGAGGAGUGGCUUCCGGAGCUAACGCGUUAAGUCGACCGCCUGGGGAGUACGGCCGCAAGGUUAAAACUCAAAUGAAUUGACGGGGGCCCGCACAAGCGGUGGAGCAUGUGGUUUAAUUCGAUGCAACGCGAAGAACCUUACCUACUCUUGACAUCCAGAGAACUUAGCAGAGAUGCUUUGGUGCCUUCGGGAACUCUGAGACAGGUGCUGCAUGGCUGUCGUCAGCUCGUGUUGUGAAAUGUUGGGUUAAGUCCCGCAACGAGCGCAACCCUUAUCCUUUGUUGCCAGCGGUCCGGCCGGGAACUCAAAGGAGACUGCCAGUGAUAAACUGGAGGAAGGUGGGGAUGACGUCAAGUCAUCAUGGCCCUUACGAGUAGGGCUACACACGUGCUACAAUGGCGCAUACAAAGAGAAGCGACCUCGCGAGAGCAAGCGGACCUCAUAAAGUGCGUCGUAGUCCGGAUUGGAGUCUGCAACUCGACUCCAUGAAGUCGGAAUCGCUAGUAAUCGUAGAUCAGAAUGCUACGGUGAAUACGUUCCCGGGCCUUGUACACACCGCCCGUCACACCAUGGGAGUGGGUUGCAAAAGAAGUAGGUAGCUUAACCUUCGGGAGGGCGCUUACCACUUUGUGAUUCAUGACUGGGGUGAAGUCGUAACAAGGUAAC
Molecule: ribosomal RNA, 1499 nt
Filed under: uncultured bacterium
Lineage: Bacteria
Description: bacterial SSU rRNA
Rfam family: Bacterial small subunit ribosomal RNA
Source: RNAcentral